Molecule: ribosomal RNA, 253 nt
Filed under: uncultured bacterium
Lineage: Bacteria
Description: partial 16S ribosomal RNA
Rfam family: Bacterial small subunit ribosomal RNA
Source: RNAcentral
GACGAACCACCCAAACGUUAUUCGGAAUUACUGGGCUUAAAGAGUGCGUAGGCGGCCCGGAAAGUAAGGUGUGAAAUCCCACAGCUCAACUGUGGAACUGCGCUUUAAACUUCCGGGCUAGAGGGAUAUAGAGGUGAGCAGAACAGAUGGUGGAGCGGUGAAAUGCGUUGAUAUCAUCUGGAAUACCGGAGGCGAAGGCGGCUCACUGGGUAUCUUCUGACGCUGAGGUACGAAAGCUAGGGUAGCGAACGGG